CCUACGGGAGGCAGCAGUCGAGAAUCAUUCACAAUGGGGGAAACCCUGAUGGUGCGACGCCGCGUGGGGGAAUGAAGGUCUUCGGAUUGUAAACCCCUGUCAUGUGGGCGCAAAUUAAAAAGAUAGUACCACAAGAGGAAGAGACGGGUAACUCUGUGCCAGCAGCCGCGGUAAUACAGAGGUAUCCAGCGUUGUUCGGAAUCACUGGGCGUAAAGGGUGCGUAGGCUGUUUCGUAAGUCGUGUGUGAAAGGCGCGGGCUCAACCCGAGGACGGCACAUGAUACUGCGAGACUAGAGUAAUGGAGGGGGAACCGGAAUUCUCGGUGUAGCAGUGAAAUGCGUAGAUAUCGAGAGGAACACUCGUGGCGAAGGCGGGUUCCUGGACAUUAACUGACGCUGAGGCACGAAGGCCAGGGGAGCGAAAGGGAUUAGAUACCCGGGUAGUC
This 446-nucleotide ribosomal RNA is filed under the name uncultured bacterium. RNAcentral's name for it is "partial 16S ribosomal RNA". It matches the Rfam family "Bacterial small subunit ribosomal RNA", at positions 338 to 795 of the family's 1533-position model. The record is from RNAcentral.